GUAUGUUUUUAUUGAUUAAAGUUCAUUGCUUUUCUGUGGAUUUGUGGAUACUGAAGUUAUAACGUACUGCAAUAGUUGGGUGGCAACCAUUAUCUUAUUUACCUAUUGAUUUUACCUUUUACUAAAAAUACAAUACUUCCUUACUUGAUUGUGUUGUCUUAUUUCUUAGAUCUGUUGUUCCUGAAAAGGAAGUGUUUAUUGGAUUGUUCAAUUUGUUUUGGAAAUCCAUUGGCUAUAUAGUGCUUGUUAAAGGGGUUAUUUCAUGGAAAUAUAUAAAUGAUCCAAGCUGUCAGUUUGCCAUAUUCUUACAUUAGUUUACUUGCUGAGUUGUCAGGAAGCUAGAGAAAUCUUACUGA
RNAcentral lists this unclassified non-coding RNA (356 nucleotides) under Hevea brasiliensis (rubber tree). Lineage: Eukaryota; Viridiplantae; Streptophyta; Magnoliopsida; Malpighiales; Euphorbiaceae. The record is from RNAcentral.